GGAAGGUCCCACCGUACUGUAGACGUGGACAUGGCUUCAGGAGGCUGAAAGGAAGACAUUCCAAACAAGCACACAGUGGAGCCAGGUUGUUGCUUGGACUCUCUCAUGUCUGGUGUUUCCUGAGAGUUUUUGGAAACCGCGUUUUACCAGGACACCCAGGCCAUCCAGGCCACUGGAGAAGCUCCGCCUGCUCUCGGGCUGGCAAUGUGGCCACACAGACUGUGACCUGGUGCCCGGUGGGAUCACUGUUGGGGGUGCUGACUCUUCUGCUGCCUCAACCGUGGUCCAUGCUGCAGUCCUGCAAAGCCACUGCAGGCAGGGCAGACCCCGUUAGAAGGACACAGUCCCCAGGCCACCCACACUGCUGGCCAGCUGGCUGCAGGGAGGAGAUCUCCAGUUUCCCCUCAGGUUUGAGGAGGUUCACCAGCCCAGUGUGCAGAACUCAGAAAAGCACUGAGUUCUGAUGAAAACUUCUGUGAGGGCAGGGCACAGGCGACCCUGGGGCACGGGUGAGGUCUGUGUCCUGCGCGGUCCCCUCCUGCCACCUCCCGCGGGGCUUCCUGCGACUGACAGGAUUGCUCACGGUUGAACUCUGUCUCCGGCCCCUCUCCUGGCCCCACCCUGCCCUCUAAGCCGAGGGUGGUCUUCUGGUGCCAACCCCACCAGGGCAGCCUCCUUGACGUACCUCAGGUACGAAGCCCUCCAGUGCUGGGGAGAUCCUGAGCGCUCCAGACGCUUCGCCUCAGGAACCCAGAGACCAGACAGUUCUCCACGACUGCCCAGCUCCAGGGAGAGGGGAGGACACGCAGCGUCCGAUGGAGGGCAGUGGCACGUGACUCUUGGAGGGCACCUUCUUCCCGAUGUCUCUGCCCAUGCUCCUGGUCUCCAGUGGGGAGGUGCUCUGGCCUCACGGAGCCUGGAAAGCCACACCUCUGUGCCCAGGGUGUGAUCCCAGGGCAGCAGGGAGGAACACGGGGAAGGGAGGCGGGAGAGAGCCGCUGAGGCUGCGUGAGGGGCCUGCCUCCUGUGUGCUGCCCCCUGGGCUCGCCAAGGCUGC
Sciurus carolinensis (gray squirrel) is the source of this 1057-nucleotide long non-coding RNA. RefSeq lists it as uncharacterized. The record is from RefSeq and is a predicted model, not a curated record. Lineage: Eukaryota; Metazoa; Chordata; Mammalia; Rodentia; Sciuridae. The transcript is spliced from 3 exons.